AGUCAGUGCAGGGCAGUCAGCGCAGGGCGGUCAGCGCAGGGCGGAGGUCUGUGUUCUCCUUGGUUAUUUCAGUCUCCACCCUGGCAGGGCUGUGGGGCAUCAGCUGAGCCCACUGGGCCUACAGCACCCUCAGGACCUCGCCACCCCGUGGGACCCACAGGGCAGCAUUCCAGGGCUUCUCCUACACAGGGGGCUCCAUUCGCCCGAAGGCCAAGGACUGCAGAGCUCAUCAACGGUGAGGGGGGCCUGGGAGGUGGGUGCCUUGGGGGUGGUCCCAACUGGGUGGGGUUGGGGAGCCUGGGGGCACCAUACGGGUAUAAGAAUUCAUUUUGGACACAGUGUGUGUCCCCUUCUGCGGAACCUUUGAGCUCAAUAGCCCAAGGGCAGGCUGGGCUCACCGCCCCUUUGGCUGUUGCCACUCUGGGUCAGUCUCCAGGGGCAAGGACAGGUUGGCAGUGUCCCCUCUCUGCCUGACUCCAGUCUGGGCAUUUCUGGAGCAUCCCGUGUGCCUGGCUCAGCCCAGCAAGCUGACAUUUGAAAGCUCACAGCUGUCCUGUAAGGUGGGUGAUUCCUGUGUCGUUUCAUGGUGAAGAAGCCAAGGCCAGGACAGAAGUGACCUGUCCCCGGGCCACAGCUGGGCAGGGGCGGAGUUGGCAUUUGAACCCAGCUGCGUGCCUCUUGAGUGCUGCUCUGUGGGCCCCGCAGCCUCCUGUCAGCUCCUUCUGGCGCCUGCUCUGUGGGUGUUCCUUCGUCUAAGGCGCCUGCAGCCCUCAGAGGGUCUGUGGGGUGGGGACAGAGCUCAGCACCCCGCAUCCACCAGCACCAUCUCCGACCCCUGUGCAGGCUUCAUGUUAGAGGUGGCAGCCAGGUCCUGCCAAUGGAAGAUGCUGGGCCUUGGAAACAGCCUGCACUGUAGGUGACCCGGCCGGCCGGGCCCAAACUGGCUGCCAAGAAAAGGGAGCGGGAAAGGAAAACAGCUCUCGGCCACAUCGCCUGUGUAACCGAAUCUGUUUUCAAAGCCCCUCGCAAUGCGGGCUCCGCAUUCGGCAGGGCAGGCACUCGCCGCCAGAUCCCCGAGGACUGCUCAGGGGGUCUUCUGGGAGGAGCUCAAAGCGAGUUUGUUUUCGGGGAGGAGGUCAUGGCACUCAAGGUCCCCGUGACUGCAGUGUUCUCAAACGUCCUGCCAUGUGCUGGGAUAAACCCACCCACCGCAGGCGUGCCCUCCGCGGGGCAGGGAGGGGAAGCAGGUUUGGGCUGUUAGGGCUGCAAGCCAAGGGGCCUGCAGGGCAUCUUAGUGAGCUGCUUUGGUGUCCCUGCAGUUGGCGACACCCAUUGUCACACCCCCUCGGCACCCUCGGUCUCCCACAUGACAGACUUACCUGGGGAUGCAAACAGGGCUGGUGAUGACCUUGGCCCUGUGCGGUGGGGUGGCCGUUUAUGAUGGGGCCUGCACUCGACUCACUUUCAGGUCUAGAUGCGGGGACCGGGGGAGGUGUCAGCUGGGCUGGGCUGGGCACGACUAGACUGUGGCCCCGUCUGCGGGAGCCCGGCCACCACCUCAGCAACGCCACCUCCUUAGGAUGUGGGGGCGGGAUUUACUCUCGAGACUCUUAGAGCCAGAGGGUGGCUGGAGGCUCAUAGCCUGGCCCAGGCAGCUGGGGGAGGGCUUUGCUGGUGCCUGGGACCCCCCACCCCCUGCAUUCUCGCCUUUGCUUUCUCUUUUGCUCUCGUCUUUAACAUCUCUCCACUCCUCCCGUCCCUCCCUCCUCUGGCCUGCCCGCUCCUUCAUUCCUUCUCUGCUCCUAACCCCUGCAUAGAGGAGCCUGGGGAGCCCGCAGCCUCCUGACCCCAUGUUCCUCUUUCUCCCCUGUCUUCCUGGAGACGUCUGCCACUGACAGGCUUGGAGCCCUGUCAAGGGGACCUGUCCUGCGCUGGGCUGUCCACGGAGGAGCAGCGUGGAGGAGCUGGGAGUGCCCAGCCUGCCUGUGGGCUGCAUUGCCGCUUCCUGCCCAGGAGCCCUGCAGCCGUCUGUCCGCCUCUGAGUAGGACAGUGGGGUUUCCUGGCCAGGAGCAGAGUUUGUCACAUUCCAGUUAUGUCUGCCCAAUGUUCAGCUUUUGGGCCAGAACCAGGGAGAUCCUGGUCCGCCCUCCCUGUCUGAGCAGCCACACGCAUGGCCUGUGCGUCCUCCACCUGAGCCCCCUUCCCGAGCCCCGGACCCUGCUGGGGCCACCAGCACCUGAGCGUGUACAGAGCAUGGAUGGGCCCCGAAACUCUCAUUUCUUGUUGCCAAAUUAAAUCCAGGCAAAUGCCAGCAUGCUU
Pan troglodytes (chimpanzee) is the source of this 2320-nucleotide long non-coding RNA. RefSeq lists it as uncharacterized. The transcript is spliced from 4 exons. The record is from RefSeq and is a predicted model, not a curated record. Lineage: Eukaryota; Metazoa; Chordata; Mammalia; Primates; Hominidae.